Molecule: long non-coding RNA, 843 nt
Organism: Stegodyphus dumicola
Lineage: Eukaryota; Metazoa; Arthropoda; Arachnida; Araneae; Eresidae
Source: RefSeq, a predicted model, not a curated record
UGUUAGGAGUUUCGUAAUUUCACACUUGAGAUCAGAAGCGCUUGCUGUAGAAUUGGUCGCACCAGAGGACCGAUCUCGCCACAUCAUGUUUUGUUUUCUGCUAAGCUAUAAAUUUGAAAAUUCCAAGUAGAGUUUUUAUAAAAACAAACAUUAUUGUCAGUCGACUAUUCCCGAAAAGGGGGGACGUUGGAAGAAACUUUCAUUUCUCUUCUGUAUAGGAAGUGAUUUAUCUGUUGAGAAAUAUUACGUCCGUGAAAUAUAUUGAGUGACAAAAGAUUCAGCUGGCUGCAGACGACCGGAAAAGUGUAUAAAGCAUUAAAACAUUACUUGCCCCUCUGUUACCACAGUUCAUCGACGGAUGUGACAAAUGGAUGUUCCUGUAAAUGGACCCCUCCCUAGCAUUUAAGCUUUCUUUAGACAUUAUAUUUGGAAGCUAACAACUUCCUAGUUAAAUAGGCGGAACAAGAUAUUGCUUCGGGAGUGACAAUUUUUAAAUGCAGCAAAUUAUCAGGAAUAAAAAGCGAAUAAUCGGAAAAUUAUUAAUACAAUUACUAAAAGAAAAUGAGUUUUAUCAGCCAGUAAGAGUAAAAAAUCUAGUUCACAUUUUAAUUAGAUGAACUCAGGAAAACUGCAGAUCCAGAAAAACUUAGAAAACAACUAAAAGAUAGACAGACAGAUUGGAGACAACAAGAAUAUUUUAAGCCAUCCUGGGGAGAGAAUUCUUCAAAAUUAUGACGGCACUAGGCAAAAUCAUUCGAUCAUCUAUAAGUUGCCUACAGCUGAUGUCACGACCUAUGCAGUCCUGCUCUUGUUACCACAAUAAAACUUGUGGAUUUGUUCUGA